RNAcentral lists this ribosomal RNA (630 nucleotides) under uncultured cyanobacterium. Its description in RNAcentral is "bacterial SSU rRNA". It matches the Rfam family "Bacterial small subunit ribosomal RNA", at positions 397 to 1040 of the family's 1533-position model. Lineage: Bacteria; Bacillati; Cyanobacteriota. The record is from RNAcentral.
CCGCGUGCGGGAGGAAGGCCUUAGGGUUGUAAACCGCUUUUAUCAGGGAAGAACACAAUGACGGUACCUGAUGAAUAAGCCUCGGCUAAUUCCGUGCCAGCAGCCGCGGUAAUACGGGAGAGGCGAGCGUUAUCCGGAAUUAUUGGGCGUAAAGCGUCCGCAGGUGGCCAAUUAAGUCUGUCGUUAAAUCGUGGAGCUCAACUCCAUACAAGCGAUGGAAACUGAUUGGCUAGAGUACGGUAGGGGUAGCGGGAAUUCCAGGUGUAGCGGUGAAAUGCGUAGAUAUCUGGAAGAACACCAGCGACGAAAGUGCGCUACUGGGCCUGUACUGACACUCAUGGACGAAAGCCAGGGGAGCGAAAGGGAUUAGAUACCCCUGUAGUCCUGGCCGUAAACGAUGAACACUAGGUGUUGCGCGAAUCGACCCGUGCAGUGCCGUAGCCAACGCGUUAAGUGUUCCGCCUGGGGAGUACGCACGCAAGUGUGAAACUCAAAGGAAUUGACGGGGGCCCGCACAAGCGGUGGAGUAUGUGGUUUAAUUCGAUGCAACGCGAAGAACCUUACCAAGGCUUGACAUCCCCCGAAUCUCCGGGAAACCGGAGAGUGCCUUCGGGAGCGGGGAGACAGUGG